This 5856-nucleotide long non-coding RNA is filed under the name Triticum aestivum (bread wheat). RNAcentral's name for it is "long non-coding RNA (TAES_LNC002986)". Lineage: Eukaryota; Viridiplantae; Streptophyta; Magnoliopsida; Poales; Poaceae. The record is from RNAcentral.
UUGUUUAUGCACUCAUGCGUAUGAUUGAAUCAUUACAUAAAAUAUCAAAUGCUCCGUGUUAAAGUGGUGUGGUAACCGUAUCAAACAACACACAAAAAUAUUAUGCCAGGGUUCAGAAUGCUUGCGUUCAAGUUGUGGGGAGGCAGGCUGCAUUCCAAAACUUUUGAAAGUUUUCUUCUCUCUCCAAAAAUCCUAUUUAAAAAUUUGAAUUAAUACAUAGUUUCAAAACAGUAAAAAUAUGUUGUCUGAAUUUUUUCAAAUAAAUCUGAAAAUAAACUAGAUAAAAUUUGAGGGAGGUAGGAAAAAGAAUCAACUCAUUUGGAGUUAUAUUUAAAAAGUUAUGGCCAGUCAAAGUUUAGUCAAAUUUCUAUUUUAAAUAAAACAGAAAAAGAAAAAGAAAACAAAAAAACAUUUCAAAUAGGAGAACACGUAGGAGACGUACUCUGGGAUUACGCCUCAACUUAAAACAGCGCGGGCCAGCUCGGGGUCACUGAUAGUGGGUCCAGGGGGCCCACUGGUCAGGUUUGACCAGUCGCCUUUGCCCCCUCCUCCUCUGUCCGAGCAGAGGCGGGGCUCCGGCGAUCAACGCCGGCGAACGGCGGCUCCUCGUGGGAUCCCGAGGGCAGGGAUGGAUCCGCCAAUCUAGGGCGGUCCUCCCGGUGGUUGAGGGGGUGGCGGGGAUGGGGGGAGUCGCCGCUGGCGAGCUUCGCGGCGGACGGUGGCUUCGGGAGAUUUGGGGCUUCGCGCUAUGGUGGCUCCCGAGCGAGUUUGAGAUGUUGGAUGGCUCCGCGAGAUCGAGGUUAGUCGUGUGGUGGUGCUGGAUGGACGGGGGAGGCUCUUGGUGCGACUAGCGGGACCGGAACGUGGCGGCGGCCGGACUGGCCGGAGACGAGGAAGAAGAGCUUCCCUGGUCGAUUGCCGGCUAUGGAGUGCUAGGUGGGGUGGCUUGAGGUCGCCUGAGGGACGGGACGAACUCGGGGCUCCUUAUAUAGGCGUUCGAGGUCGGUUCCGACGGUGGCCAUGGAUAAGAAUGGCGAACCGCCGUUCUGAAGCCAGGGGCACGUGGCGAUGGUUGCCGGGGUAUGGCAGGGUGAGCGGAUGAUCUUGAGCUGCUCCAGGGGCGAGCUGGCGCGCUGGUGUGGCUCGGGCGGUGCCGUCCAUGGCAAGGACUGCUGCGGCCGCCUGCUUGCUGCCAUGGCUGACCUAAGGGCGACACUGUAGGGCGCCAGGGGGGCUUGGAUGGUUCUGGCGAGCGGAUGAGGACGGGCGUGGCUCUACGGGCGAGCAAAGGCCAGGGGCGCGGGGCGAGCGAACGCGGUGGCUCGGUUGCACGCGCGCAUGCAAAACGUGCGCUCUGGGCACGCCCAAAGCACGCACGCCAGGCGUUCGGCAAAAUGCUAGGGCAUGUUAGAGAGCUCGAAUGAUGCUGGUAGUAAACAUGCCUAGGUUAGUGGUAGAUAGGAGUUUAGUGGACAUGGUGGUUAGGCAAAGCAAGCAGGUCCAGUGUGCAAACUAAAAGCUAAGCCAAAUUUGCUCAUGCACACAAGGUGCUUGACAAAAUGCCAAGGGCAUCUAGAGAACUCUUGGGAUGGCCAAAAACUCCAGACUAGUGUCUCUUUAGAUGAAAAAGAGGGCGGCAAGGUUAGUUUGGCAAAAACAGAAACUUCCUAGUGGAAGUUUUUGAGAAAACCAUUUCUGGACAGAAAAUAAAGGCUAUCAUUGCAUGCACCAAAUAUACUGCAAUGGGUCCACUCUCCUGGACUUAAGGGUUUUGCAGGGUGGUUAAUAAGCAGGAGAAAGAUCAUGGGCAUUAGAGCGACAAAAAUUAGAGUUGAUGUAGAAAAAGCCAAUCUGGACCAGAGAGCAAAAGAGUAUGUUUUGCUCAAAAUUUUCAAAUAACACCAGUAGAUUUUUGCAUAAAGUUGAAUAAUAUACUCCUACCAACAUCCCCUAAAUUUGGUGGAAGUUUUAAAGAAAUAUUUAAAUAGGUUGUACUCCAAAAGUACAACUGGACCAGAUUUGAAAACUUGGGGUAAAUCUCAAAAUCUCCAAAUGACUAAAGGAUAUUUUUGCAUAAAAGUGAUUUAGGGACAUCAUAUGUCAUCCCCACAUUUUGGUGGGAUUUUUAAAUGAAUUUAUCAAAGGGUUGUAGUGCAAAUGGGACCCUGAAUCUUAUGAAAAAUCAUUUUUAGAGAAAUAGAGCUCAGGGAAAAUAAUUAUAUAAAUAAUUUCACCGAUAAAAGAAAUGUUCCAAUAGAGGGUACACAAGCCCAAUAAUAUUUUUGGAAAGUUUUCACUUAGGGCAAAAACUCCACAAUACCAAAGAAAAGAAAGGUUCUGAAAUCAAAGGAUAAUUCCAGAAAAUAAAAAUUUAAUUUCCUGGCAAAAUUUUAAUAAACAUAUCAUGGUUAAAAUUUUUGGGGUGUUACAACACUACCCCCCUUAAGAAAAAUCUUGUCCUCGAGAUUUGCUAAGAGUUGUUUUUAAAAAAUAAUAUUAUUCCUAUUAGCUGAAACCAGAAAGUUUACUCAUAGCACAAACUUUGAGUCGUCGGGGUUGGUAGCUACGCCCGGGUUAAAAAUGCAAUCGCACACCAACAUACUUAUGCGUGGCUACUAUUUAAAAUAGGGGUGCACAAGCAAACAACAUUUAAAUAUGGCGAUACAGGAUCACAUAAUUACAGGGCGGACAUACUAAGCCUCGGUACUACCCGAGCGACUCAGUCUACCUCGUUAAUAUCUAAGCGUGCAUGCCUUGUGGACGUCGAGGCUUCUCCACGGGUUUCACCGUCGGGAUUUGCUGGAGGGGGUCGAGGGGCUGCAUGGUCGGGGUAGCGAUGAUGACCAUCCUGGGGAUUGUUGGCCAGAAUCCCGUUGGACCGUGUUCCAAAAAGGCAACAAAGCACUUCUAGGGACACCAACGCAUUUUGGUCGAUGGCUGGGGUUGUCCUCAGGGACUCGAUCGGUUGUCCGAAUAGCACGACUGGGUUGUCGGCGUCGGGCUCAUCUUCUCUUCUUGCCGGGGCUCAGCGAACCAGUUCUCCACGAGCUGCGAUCAGGUCAAGGGUGAUUUGAUCGAACAGUUCCUCUAGUGCACCUACAUAGCGCACCAGAUGCAACAACGCAGGAUCCGUCUCGUGAUCUCCGUUGGCAACCUGGGGUGGCCUACCAUACCCGUCACGGCUGGGGUAGUAGUAGAACGAGCGAUAGUUAACUCUGGGCGACAAGUGCCGAAGUUGAACUAUAGCCUCUCGAGCAGCUAGUUGGAUGGCUUGUGGCUCAAAGGAAGUUGUCCUUCCGGUGAACCUGGAGGGGCGUUCUGGCGAUAGACCCCUACCAUUGAUGUGCACAAUGGCCCAGAAUUGACGGCUCUCACCGCUCAUGGGCCCUUGGUACACAACAUAUUCUCGGGGCUCCUCUAAUGCAAAGACACGACGGGUGAGGUUUGCUAGCAUGGUCACAAAACCUCCAAGGUUGUUUGCCGUGGUUUCAUUGUGCAUGACGGGGCCAGGCAUUGUGGCUCGGUUUGGGGAAGAGGUUGUGUUGUGCUGGGUUGAGGCUAGCCUGCUCUUUUUAUAGAAAAAGGGAACGGAGUCUUCCUUCGCACGCUUGCGAAUUAGACAAUUUAGGUGUCGGCCACUGGCGCGUGAUCGAUAGGCUAGGCUAAUAGGUUGGGCACUGACUGCCAAAAGAUGUCGGGUCACUGUGUGGCUAUCUUAUAUGAGAAGCUUGGACGGGGUUAGGUUAAGGUCUGGUGGGUUGGUUAACCUAUGUUUUUCGACCUGGCUAAGAUAGGAUUAGCCAAUGGUUAACUUGGCUCUGAUACCAAGUUUGUCAGGAACGGAUUUUUGGGACAUCAAUGUCCCAGAAAAUGGCCCUUCUGCUCACCAGCCCCAGGAUUACUGUUAGUUGAUGAGGCACCAACUUGAUACAGAAACUCCAAGCAAAGUACAUAAUGAGUAGUACAAGAACAUUCUGGCCUAUGAGUACAACAAAUGGUUCUAGUGGUUGAUGGCGGAAGCGGUUUGUGGAUCAUCGGCGUCUAUGGGACUCCAUUUCCCACAGGAACAGCUGGCCUGGAUAACUCCUAUCUUCGCGAGGCUGCUAUCAUCAUUGCAUAGGUUUCGGGGGUGUCAUCGCAAUGCUCCUCUCCAAGCAAGAAAUCUGGCCAAGACAAUAGCCAGGGACAAGCCAGUGAGUACUUUGCAUGUACUCGCAAACAUUAUGAACACGGGUAUAAUAUAACAAACGAUAAUCAUGCUCUGAAAUAUUCUAUGAUCACAACGUCAGUCAUAUAAUAAAAUCCAUGAUGCAUGCAAGCAAGUUAUUUAUAUACAACAUGAAUAUGCAAUAACAGAGUAGUAAUAAAAUGCACCGAUCGGGUGUUUGAAGCAACGCCUCGAAAGGAUAGUAAAUAACGAGCAUGCCUCAGACGGGCGUCUGAGCGACACCACAUAAAGGGCUUAUAAAGUAAAUAAAUAACAGCAUGCCACAGUCGGGCGUCUAUGCGACACCACAUAAAGGGCUUAUAAAGUAAAUAAUUAACAAGCAGGACACAGUCGGGCGUCUCAGCGACACCACAUAAAGGGCUUAUAUGAAAAUAAAUAAUAGUGAAUAUCCAGGAGGUAGAACCAUACCAGGGAUACUAAAUAAUUCAAAUAAUAUUAUUUGUUAGUCCAUAAUAAUAAUAACCAUAAUCAUCACGAGUCGCAAGCCAUUAUCCAUGUUCAGUUUUUAGCAGUUUUUCCUCCGAAGACCGACACUAAGACCGACACUUGACCCAUCCUAGACUGUAGUCCUUAACCAUGGACACGGCUAUUCGAAUAGAUAUAAUCUCUGUAGAGGGUGUACUCUUUACCCACGAGUAACAGAUUCCUUUAGUCCAUCGGGACUAAUUCCGUCUAUGGUGUUUUAAUUGAAAACACACCUGACUCGCACACACCAGCUUAACUUACCGGUGUUUGGAAUCACCCACGACACCUGUCAAGCAAAACUCUAAGUGUGGAGGCUACAACCUCGAUUAGCAUGGGAUCAAAUUUAUACCGCUCGCUAAUAAGGGGUGCCCCCCUCUCGGUCCCAACCGAAAACACCCAUGCCCCCGGACCAGGUGGCAUGCCUACCGGCUGCAGUCGGUAUCUUCCACCAUGGCCUCUCUGUACGGUGUGUGCUAGAAAGGGGUUGACAACUUACUAAACCGUACCCUACCUGCUGCAGGGACAAGUGGUAGUACGAAACAAGUAUGGGGGUUACUGGAACAAGACUCGAUCUAUGGUCGACUCGGGAGGUUUAAGUAUUCCCUGCAUGAUUAGCAUAACAGAUAUAUUUCAUCCAACAGACAGAAUCACCACUCAUCAUACCCCAUAAUGCCAUACCGGACACACUCGUCUCCACGAGGAACUAGGGGCAUUCUCAGGUCUACCCAAGACAGAGACUUUCCCGGCUUUCUUCCAGUAGGCACAAAAGGCAUACGAGGAUGAUCACUAUCACAAGCCUGUCCAAUUUUCAGCAGCAAAGACUCUUCUUUAUGCACUCAUGCGUAUAAUUGAAUCAUUACAUAAAAUAUCGAAUGCUCCGUGUUAAAGUGGUGUGGUAACCGUAUCAAACAACACAUGAAAAUAUUAUGCCAGGGUUCAGAAUGCUUGCCUUCAAGUUGUGGGGAGGCAGGGUGCAUUCCAAAACUUUUGAAAGUUUUCUUCUCUCUCCAAAAAUCCUAUUUAAAAAUUUGAAUUAAUACAUAUAGUUUCAAAAUAGUAAAAAAAGUUGUCUGGAUUUUUUUCAAAUAAAUCUGAAAAUAAACUAGACAAAAUUUGAGAGAGGUAGGAAAAAGAAUCAACUCAUUUGGAGUUAUAUUUAAAAA